AACGAACGCUGGCGGCAUGCCUAACACAUGCAAGUCGAACGAGACCUUCGGGUCUAGUGGCGCACGGGUGCGUAACGCGUGGGAACCUGCCCUUAGGUUCGGAAUAACUCCCCGAAAGGGGUGCUAAUACCGGAUAAUGUCUUCGGACCAAAGAUUUAUCGCCUUUGGAUGGGCCCGCGUUGGAUUAGCUAGUUGGUAGGGUAAAAGCCUACCAAGGCGACGAUCCAUAGCUGGUCUGAGAGGAUGAUCAGCCACACUGGGACUGAGACACGGCCCAGACUCCUACGGGAGGCAGCAGUGGGGAAUAUUGGAAAAUGGGCGAAAGCCUGAUCCAGCAAUGCCGCGUGAGUGAUGAAGGCCUUAGGGUUGUAAAGCUCUUUUACCCGGGAUGAUAAUGACAGUACCGGGAGAAUAAGCACCGGCUAACUCCAUG
RNAcentral lists this ribosomal RNA (433 nucleotides) under uncultured bacterium. RNAcentral's name for it is "partial 16S ribosomal RNA". It matches the Rfam family "Bacterial small subunit ribosomal RNA", at positions 29 to 507 of the family's 1533-position model. The record is from RNAcentral.